GGGUUGUGAGGUUAAGCGACUAAGCGUACACGGUGGAUGCCCUGGCAGUCAGAGGCGAUGAAGGACGUGCUAAUCUGCGAUAAGCGUCGGUAAGGUGAUAUGAACCGUUAUAACCGGCGAUUUCCGAAUGGGGAAACCCAGUGUGUUUCGACACACUAUCAUUAACUGAAUCCAUAGGUUAAUGAGGCGAACCGGGGGAACUGAAACAUCUAAGUACCCCGAGGAAAAGAAAUCAACCGAGAUUCCCCCAGUAGCGGCGAGCGAACGGGGAGGAGCCCAGAGCCUGAAUCAGUGUGUGUGUUAGUGGAAGCGUCUGGAAAGGCGCGCGAUACAGGGUGACAGCCCCGUACACAAAAAUGCACAUGCUGUGAGCUCGAUGAGUAGGGCGGGACACGUGGUAUCCUGUCUGAAUAUGGGGGGACCAUCCUCCAAGGCUAAAUACUCCUGACUGACCGAUAGUGAACCAGUACCGUGAGGGAAAGGCGAAAAGAACCCCGGCGAGGGGAGUGAAAAAGAACCUGAAACCGUGUACGUACAAGCAGUGGGAGCCUCUUUAUGGGGUGACUGCGUACCUUUUGUAUAAUGGGUCAGCGACUUAUAUUCUGUAGCAAGGUUAACCGAAUAGGGGAGCCGAAGGGAAACCGAGUCUUAACUGGGCGUUAAGUUGCAGGGUAUAGACCCGAAACCCGGUGAUCUAGCCAUGGGCAGGUUGAAGGUUGGGUAACACUAACUGGAGGACCGAACCGACUAAUGUUGAAAAAUUAGCGGAUGACUUGUGGCUGGGGGUGAAAGGCCAAUCAAACCGGGAGAUAGCUGGUUCUCCCCGAAAGCUAUUUAGGUAGCGCCUCGUGAAUUCAUCUCCGGGGGUAGAGCACUGUUUCGGCAAGGGGGUCAUCCCGACUUACCAACCCGAUGCAAACUGCGAAUACCGGAGAAUGUUAUCACGGGAGACACACGGCGGGUGCUAACGUCCGUCGUGAAGAGGGAAACAACCCAGACCGCCAGCUAAGGUCCCAAAGUCAUGGUUAAGUGGGAAACGAUGUGGGAAGGCCCAGACAGCCAGGAUGUUGGCUUAGAAGCAGCCAUCAUUUAAAGAAAGCGUAAUAGCUCACUGGUCGAGUCGGCCUGCGCGGAAGAUGUAACGGGGCUAAACCAUGCACCGAAGCUGCGGCAGCGACGCUUAUGCGUUGUUGGGUAGGGGAGCGUUCUGUAAGCCUGUGAAGGUGUGCUGUGAGGCAUGCUGGAGGUAUCAGAAGUGCGAAUGCUGACAUAAGUAACGAUAAAGCGGGUGAAAAGCCCGCUCGCCGGAAGACCAAGGGUUCCUGUCCAACGUUAAUCGGGGCAGGGUGAGUCGACCCCUAAGGCGAGGCCGAAAGGCGUAGUCGAUGGGAAACAGGUUAAUAUUCCUGUACUUGGUGUUACUGCGAAGGGGGGACGGAGAAGGCUAUGUUGGCCGGGCGACGGUUGUCCCGGUUUAAGCGUGUAGGCUGGUUUUCCAGGCAAAUCCGGAAAAUCAAGGCUGAGGCGUGAUGACGAGGCACUACGGUGCUGAAGCAACAAAUGCCCUGCUUCCAGGAAAAGCCUCUAAGCAUCAGGUAACAUCAAAUCGUACCCCAAACCGACACAGGUGGUCAGGUAGAGAAUACCAAGGCGCUUGAGAGAACUCGGGUGAAGGAACUAGGCAAAAUGGUGCCGUAACUUCGGGAGAAGGCACGCUGAUAUGUAGGUGAAGUCCCUCGCGGAUGGAGCUGAAAUCAGUCGAAGAUACCAGCUGGCUGCAACUGUUUAUUAAAAACACAGCACUGUGCAAACACGAAAGUGGACGUAUACGGUGUGACGCCUGCCCGGUGCCGGAAGGUUAAUUGAUGGGGU
This 1872-nucleotide ribosomal RNA is filed under the name Escherichia coli. Its description in RNAcentral is "partial 23S ribosomal RNA". It matches the Rfam family "Bacterial large subunit ribosomal RNA", at positions 1 to 1890 of the family's 2925-position model. Lineage: Bacteria; Pseudomonadati; Pseudomonadota; Gammaproteobacteria; Enterobacterales; Enterobacteriaceae. The record is from RNAcentral.